GAGGACAUAGCUCAGUGGUAGAGUGUGUGCCUAGCAUGCAUGAGGUCCUGGGUUCAAUCCCCAGUUCCUCC
RNAcentral lists this transfer RNA (71 nucleotides) under Camelus bactrianus (Bactrian camel). It matches the Rfam family "tRNA". Rfam says of the family: Transfer RNA (tRNA) molecules are approximately 80 nucleotides in length. Their secondary structure includes four short double-helical elements and three loops (D, anti-codon, and T loops). Lineage: Eukaryota; Metazoa; Chordata; Mammalia; Artiodactyla; Camelidae. The record is from Rfam by way of RNAcentral. RNAcentral also lists the same sequence under 2 other names.